This 1348-nucleotide ribosomal RNA is filed under the name metagenome. RNAcentral's name for it is "bacterial LSU rRNA". It matches the Rfam family "Bacterial large subunit ribosomal RNA", at positions 1564 to 2925 of the family's 2925-position model. The record is from RNAcentral.
UGAGUACGAGCUGCUACGGCAGCGAAGUGGGUGAUGUCAAGCCUCCAAGAAAAGCCCUAUACCCGUUAAGGCAUGACGGCCUGUACCCGAAACCGACACAGGUGGGGUGGUAGAGAAUACCGAGGGGCGCGAGAUAACUCUCUCUAAGGAACUCGGCAAAAUGGCCCCGUAACUUCGGGAGAAGGGGUGCCACCGCAAGGUGGUCGCAGCGAAGAGGCCCAGGCGACUGUUUACCAAAAACACAGGUCUCCGCUAAGUCGCAAGACGAUGUAUGGGGGCUGACGCCUGCCCAGUGCCGGAAGGUUAAGGAAGCUGGUCAGCGCAAGCGAAGCUAGCGACUGAAGCCCCGGUGAACGGCGGCCGUAACUAUAACGGUCCUAAGGUAGCGAAAUUCCUUGUCGGGUAAGUUCCGACCCGCACGAAAGGCGUAACGAUCUGGGCGCUGUCUCGGAGAGAGGCUCGGCGAAAUAGAAUUGUCUGUGAAGAUGCGGACUACGUGCACCCGGACAGAAAGACCCUAUGAAGCUUUACUGUAGCUUGGUAUUGUGCCCGGGCUCUGAAUGCGCAGGAUAGGUGGGAGGCUUUGAUCCAUUGCUUGUGGGUAAUGGUGAGCCACUGGUGAGAUACCACUCUUUCAGAGCUAGGGUUCUAACGGUCACCCGUUAUCCGGGGACCGGACAGUAUCAGGUGGGCAGUUUGACUGGGGCGGUCGCCUCCUAAAAGGUAACGGAGGCGCGCAAAGGUUCCCUCAGGCUGGUUGGAAAUCAGCCGACGAGUGUAAAGGCAGAAGGGAGCUUGACUGUGAGACCUACAAGUCGAACAGGAACGAAAGUCGGCCUUAGUGAUCCGACGGUUCUGAGUGGAAGGGCCGUCGCUCAACGGAUAAAAGUUACUCUAGGAUAACAGGCUGAUCUCCCCCAAGAGUUCACAUCGACGGGGAGGUUAGGCACCUCGAUGUCGGCUCAUCGCAACCUGGGGCUGAAGUCGGUCCCAAGGGUUGGGCUGUUCGCCCAUUAAAGCGGUACGCGAGCUGGGUUCAGAACGUCGUGAGACAGUUCGGUCCAUAUCCGGUGCACGCGCAGGAACAUUGAGAGGAUUUCUCCCUAGUACGAGAGGACCGGGAGGAACGCACCUCUGGUGUACCAGUUAUCGUGCCAACGGUAAACGCUGGGUAGCCAUGUGCGGAGCGGAUAACCGCUGAAAGCAUCUAAGUGGGAAGCCCACCUCAAGAUGAGUGUUCCCAUGGCAUAAGCCAGUAAGGUCACGGGAAGAACACCCGUUGAUAGGCUCUACGUGGAAGCGUGGCAACACGUGAAGCGGAGGAGUACUAAUAGACCGAGGGCUUGAC